GUGGGUGCACUUCAAUGGCAGAACGUAAGCUUUCCAAGGUCAAUACGUGGGUUAGAUUUCCAACACCCGCCCCA
This 74-nucleotide transfer RNA is filed under the name Methylophilales bacterium BACL14 MAG-120910-bin43. RNAcentral describes it as "tRNA-Gly". The record is from RNAcentral. RNAcentral also lists the same sequence under 1 other name. Lineage: Bacteria; Pseudomonadati; Pseudomonadota; Betaproteobacteria; Nitrosomonadales.